CUAUUUUUAGUACAGAUGCGGUGCCUAGUUGGGAUAAUAUUGUUAUUGCAUAUGAACCUGUAUGGGCCAUUGGAACUGGCAAAGUAGCCUCUCCCGAGCAAGCUCAGGAAGUACAUGUGGCUCUCCGUGAUUGGCUUAAGAAUAAUGUCUCAGCUGAAGUCGCAUCUAAAACACAAAUAAUUUAUGGAGGAUCUGUAAAUGGGGGCAAUAGUGCUGAGCUUGCAAAGAAAGAAGACAUUGAUGGAUUUCUUGUUGGAGGUGCUUCAUUAAAGGGUCCUGAAUUUGCCACCAUUGUCAAUUCAGUCACAUCCAAGAAAGUCGCAGCUUGAUUACUUAUUGUGGUUUUUGCAAUAUGAGAGCAUUAACGAAUAUGACAGUAAUGACAUUAUGUGUCCUGUUAUAAUAGUGUGGUCAUCAAUCAUCAUAAUCCCAAUGUCACUAGCAACUUAGCACGAUGGGUAGCAGUAAGCAAACUGCAGGCCUCAGCUCUAAUUUCAGGUCAGUUACUUUCAAUUCAAGACGCCUAUCUAAAUAUAUUUUCUCAUUUUUCUUAA
Molecule: non-coding RNA, 554 nt
Organism: Cicer arietinum (chickpea)
Lineage: Eukaryota; Viridiplantae; Streptophyta; Magnoliopsida; Fabales; Fabaceae
Source: RefSeq, a predicted model, not a curated record